GGGGAUGACCUUUUCUUCUUCCUCCUCCCUGCAGGUGCAUUGCUGGUUUCCAUGGGGACCCACGGCUGCCAUAUGGGGGCCAGUGCCGGCCCUGUCCCUGUCCUGAAGGCCCUGGGAGCCAACGGCACUUUGCUACUUCUUGCCACCGGGAUGAAUAUUCCCAGCAGAUUGUGUGCCACUGCCGGGCAGGCUACACGGGUGAGUGGAUGGGGGCAGGCAUGGGAUCAGGGUGAGUUGACUGGGCUGAGCACUCACAGCUUCCUCUUGACCGUGGGCAGGGCUGCGAUGUGAAGCUUGUGCCCCUGGGCACUUUGGGGACCCAUCAAGGCCAGGUGGCCGGUGCCAACUGUGUGAGUGCAGUGGGAACAUUGACCCAAUGGAUCCUGAUGCCUGUGACCCCCACACGGGGCAAUGCCUGCGCUGUUUACACCACACAGAGGGUCCACACUGUGCCCACUGCAAGCCUGGCUUCCAUGGGCAGGCUGCCCGACAGAGCUGUCACCGCUGCACAUGCAAUCUGCUGGGCACAAAUCCCCAGCAGUGCCCAUCUCCUGACCAGUGCCACUGUGAUCCAAGCAGUGGGCAGUGCCCAUGCCUCCCCAAUGUCCAGGGCCCUAGCUGUGACCGCUGUGCCCCCAACUUCUGGAACCUCACCAGCGGCCAUGGUUGCCAG
RNAcentral lists this small RNA (673 nucleotides) under Pongo abelii (Sumatran orangutan). RNAcentral describes it as "retained intron". Lineage: Eukaryota; Metazoa; Chordata; Mammalia; Primates; Hominidae. The record is from RNAcentral.